CAUGUAGGCGGCAUGGCAAGUUUGGUGUGAAAUAUCCCGGCUCAACCGGGAAGACGCGCUGAAAACUGCCAAGCUAGAGUGUAGGAAGGGAAGCUGGAAUUCCUAGUGUAGGGGUGAAAUCUGUAGAUAUUAGGAAGAAUACCGGUGGCGAAGGCGAGCUUCUGGCCAUACACUGACGCUGAUAUGCGAAAGCGUGGGGAGCGAACA
Molecule: ribosomal RNA, 207 nt
Filed under: uncultured bacterium
Lineage: Bacteria
Description: partial 16S ribosomal RNA
Rfam family: Bacterial small subunit ribosomal RNA
Source: RNAcentral